GUCACUAGAAUGAAGACAAGCAAUUUUAACGGAUUCUAAAGGGAAUCAUAUAAUUCCAAACUUCUAUGGCAACACCGUUGUCAAUUCAGUUAACAAUUAUUUUCGAACGUGUGUUGCCAAGAGACAUCUAACCGACGUUCUAUGGAAUGUUUUCUGGGCGAAAACAACAACUGUAGUUUGCUGCUGACAACGAACUUGUUUGAUUUUUGAGACCUGAAAUAGAACAAUCGAGGGGAAAAUGCCUGGGUGAUUUUCAAGACUGGCGGAGAGAGUGCGUGGACGUCGGCGGCCUACUGCGUCGACAGGUUGUUCAAAUUCAUUUGUGGCUUGUUCUUCUUGUCUUUUUCUGUUUUGCUGGGUUCGUGAUCAUCGACAGUUGGACAGCGACAGCGACUUCGAAGAGGAAACAAUUGUCCUGGAUGAAGUCCAGUUGGAUGUGCCAUUGGUUGAUGUGCCAGAUGUUCCACAACUGACAGUCCUCCUUGAUGUCCAGAAUGCUGCUAUCAUCCUUGGGGAUGUGCCAGAUGUGCAGACUAUCCUUGAGCAGGCCACUGGCAAUUGGCAGUUGAUUCAGAUUAGGUUCAGCCCCCUGUACUGUGGGCCUGUAGUGAUCAGG
Long non-coding RNA from Oncorhynchus masou masou (cherry salmon), 616 nucleotides. RefSeq lists it as uncharacterized. The record is from RefSeq and is a predicted model, not a curated record. NCBI's taxonomy places the organism in Eukaryota, Metazoa, Chordata, Actinopteri, Salmoniformes, Salmonidae. The transcript has 3 exons.